RNAcentral lists this ribosomal RNA (253 nucleotides) under uncultured bacterium. RNAcentral describes it as "partial 16S ribosomal RNA". It matches the Rfam family "Bacterial small subunit ribosomal RNA", at positions 524 to 776 of the family's 1533-position model. The record is from RNAcentral.
UACGAGGGGCGCAAACGUUAUUCGGAAUUAUUGGGCGUAAAGGGCGCGUAGACGGCGUGAUAAGUCAGUUGUUAAAUCCUUCGGCCUAACCGGGGCUCAGCAGCAGAAACUAUCACGCUAGAGGAUGGAAGAGAGAAGUGGAAUUCUCGGAGUAGCGGUAAAAUGCGUAGAUCUCGAGAGGAACACCGAUGGCGAAGGCAGCUUCUUGGUCCAUAUCUGACGUUGAGGCGCGAAAGCGUGGGGAGCAAACAGG